GACGAACCGUCCAAACGUUAUUCGGAAUCACUGGGCUUAAAGGGUGCGUAGGCGGAGAGGCAAGUCAGAGGUGAAAGCCCACGGCUCAACCGUGGAAGUGCCCCUGAAACGGCCUCUCUCGAGGGAGAUAGGGGCGUGCGGAACUCAGAGUGGAGCGGUGAAAUGCGUAGAUAUUCUGAGGAACACCGGUGGCGAAAGUGGCACGCGGGGUCUUUGAUGACUGUGAGGCACGAAAGCUAGGGGAGCAAACAGG
This 253-nucleotide ribosomal RNA is filed under the name uncultured bacterium. RNAcentral's name for it is "partial 16S ribosomal RNA". It matches the Rfam family "Bacterial small subunit ribosomal RNA", at positions 524 to 776 of the family's 1533-position model. The record is from RNAcentral.